AAUCACCAGUCUUCUGCGUCGCUCACGCUGGGAGCUGUAGACCGGAGCUGUUCCUAUUCGGCCAUCUUGUCUCCUCCCGUGGGCUUUUGGCUCAAUUCUGAAUAAACAGUGAACAUCCAUGUGGGAGCAAUGAGGAGGAACUGUAGCAUCUGGAACAGUCCAAAAAGGAAGCUGGGAGUCAGCCCAUCACGAGGUUGCUUGAUCAGAAUCACAUGAACUGGAAAUUCCCUGUCUCCCCUUAACCAGCACUGGAAGCAGAUGGGAAGAGAAUAGCUGUGACUGACUCACACUCUAACCCAGCAACCCUCAGCAUACAAGUGGGAGACCAUAAAGUUUUUCAAGACCCCAAAAGAGGCCAAAGGUCUGAUAAUUGCUGGGAGAAGGUCCACUAUCCAAGAAGAGAAGAGGAAAAGGAAUUAAAGUCUCCAAGCACUGGGGAUGCAAGAAGAGAGUUGCACAGGAGAGAAAGAAGAAGUUGUCCACGGGGUGACCCUGCAAUUGGAGGGAAAUGCAUGUGGAUAUGUGCAGGGAGUCUAGGAAGUGAAGCCUUAGUGAUCAUUUACAAGAAUGAGGGUUAGGUAAAAUAAGGGAUGCAAAGCCACCUGUAGUCUAUUCUAACCUCACUCCAUCACUCUAUACAAUCUGUGUUUUAUCAUCUGAAAUGUUAAGUAAAGACCUGUUUGGGUCUUCUUCAGAAUCCCAUACAUUUGAGUUCAUUAGUC
RNAcentral lists this long non-coding RNA (722 nucleotides) under Homo sapiens (human). RNAcentral describes it as "non-protein coding LINC00491:7". The record is from RNAcentral. Lineage: Eukaryota; Metazoa; Chordata; Mammalia; Primates; Hominidae.